GCCGUAAGACAGGUGCUGCAUGGCUGUCGUCAGCUCGUGUCGUGAGAUGUUGGUUAAGUCCCGCAACGAGCGCAACCCCUAUCCUCAGUUGCCAUCAUUAAGUUGGGCACUCUGUGGAGACUGCCGGUGUCAAACCGGAGGAAGGUGGGGAUGACGUCAAGUCCUCAUGGCCCUUAUGACCAGGGCUACACACGUGCUACAAUGGCCGGUACAAAGAGUUGCGAUACCGCGAGGUGGAGCUAAUCUCAUAAAGCCGGUCUCAGUUCGGAUUGGAGUCUGCAACUCGACUCCAUGAAGUUGGAAUCGCUAGUAAUCGCGGAUCAGCACGCCGCGGUGAAUACGUUCCCGGGCCUU
RNAcentral lists this ribosomal RNA (354 nucleotides) under uncultured Geobacter sp. Its description in RNAcentral is "bacterial SSU rRNA". It matches the Rfam family "Bacterial small subunit ribosomal RNA", at positions 1026 to 1382 of the family's 1533-position model. The record is from RNAcentral. Lineage: Bacteria; Pseudomonadati; Thermodesulfobacteriota; Desulfuromonadia; Geobacterales; Geobacteraceae.